UAGAGAGAAGCUUGCUUCUCUUGAGAGCGGCGGACGGGUGAGUAAUGCCUAGGAAUCUGCCUGGUAGUGGGGGAUAACGUUCGGAAACGGACGCUAAUACCGCAUACGUCCUACGGGAGAAAGCAGGGGACCUUCGGGCCUUGCGCUAUCAGAUGAGCCUAGGUCGGAUUAGCUAGUUGGCGAGGUAAUGGCUCACCAAGGCGACGAUCCGUAACUGGUCUGAGAGGAUGAUCAGUCACACUGGAACUGAGACACGGUCCAGACUCCUACGGGAGGCAGCAGUGGGGAAUAUUGGACAAUGGGCGAAAGCCUGAUCCAGCCAUGCCGCGUGUGUGAAGAAGGUCUUCGGAUUGUAAAGCACUUUAAGUUGGGAGGAAGAGCAGUUACCUAAUACGUGAUUGUUUUGACGUUACCGACAGAAUAAGCACCGGCUAACUCUGUGCCAGCAGCCGCGGUAAUACAGAGGGUGCAAGCGUUAAUCGGAAUUACUGGGCGUAAAGCGCGCGUAGGUGGUUAGUUAAGCUGGAUGUGAAAUCCCCGGGCUCAACCUGGGAACUGCGUUCAAAACUGACUGACUAGAGUAUGGUAGAGGGUGGGUGGAAUUUCCUGUGUAGCGGUGAAAUGCGUA
RNAcentral lists this ribosomal RNA (628 nucleotides) under uncultured bacterium. Its description in RNAcentral is "bacterial SSU rRNA". It matches the Rfam family "Bacterial small subunit ribosomal RNA", at positions 69 to 692 of the family's 1533-position model. The record is from RNAcentral.